Molecule: unclassified non-coding RNA, 634 nt
Filed under: Trichoderma citrinoviride
Lineage: Eukaryota; Fungi; Ascomycota; Sordariomycetes; Hypocreales; Hypocreaceae
Description: sequence contains 18S rRNA gene, ITS1, 5.8S rRNA gene, ITS2, 28S rRNA gene
Rfam family: 5.8S ribosomal RNA (bases 264-417)
Source: RNAcentral
UCGUAACAAGGUCUCCGUUGGUGAACCAGCGGAGGGAUCAUUACCGAGUUUACAACUCCCAAACCCAAUGUGAACGUUACCAAUCUGUUGCCUCGGCGGGAUUCUCUGCCCCGGGCGCGUCGCAGCCCCGGAUCCCAUGGCGCCCGCCGGAGGACCAACUCAAACUCUUUCUUCUCUCCGUCGCGGCCUACGUCGCGGCUCUGUUUUAUCUUUGCUCUGAGCCUUUCUCGGCGACCCUAGCGGGCGUCUCGAAAAUGAAUCAAAACUUUCAACAACGGAUCUCUUGGUUCUGGCAUCGAUGAAGAACGCAGCGAAAUGCGAUAAGUAAUGUGAAUUGCAGAAUUCAGUGAAUCAUCGAAUCUUUGAACGCACAUUGCGCCCGCCAGUAUUCUGGCGGGCAUGCCUGUCCGAGCGUCAUUUCAACCCUCGAACCCCUCCGGGGGGUCGGCGUUGGGGAUCGGCCCCUCACCGGGCCGCCCCCGAAAUACAGUGGCGGUCUCGCCGCAGCCUCUCCUGCGCAGUAGUUUGCACACUCGCACCGGGAGCGCGGCGCGGCCACAGCCGUAAAACACCCCAAACUCUGAAAUGUUGACCUCGGAUCAGGUAGGAAUACCCGCUGAACUUAAGCAUAUCA